RNAcentral lists this ribosomal RNA (486 nucleotides) under uncultured bacterium. RNAcentral's name for it is "bacterial SSU rRNA". It matches the Rfam family "Bacterial small subunit ribosomal RNA", at positions 29 to 509 of the family's 1533-position model. The record is from RNAcentral.
AAUGAACGCUGGCGGCGCGCCUAAUACAUGCAAGUCGAGCGAGAAGACGUAGCAAUACGUUUGUAAAGCGGCGAACGGGUGAGGAAUACAUGGGUAACCUACCCUCGAGUGGGGAAUAACUAGCCGAAAGGUUAGCUAAUACCGCGUACGCUUCUUGGACUUCGGUUCAGGGAGGAAAGCGAUACCGUGGGUAUCGCGCUCUUGGAUGGGCUCAUGUCCUAUCAGCUUGUUGGGAGGUAACGGCUCACCAAGGCUUCGACGGGUAGCUGGUCUGAGAGGACGAUCAGCCAUACUGGCACUGCGACACGGGCCAGACUCCUACGGGAGGCAGCAGUAAGGAAUAUUGCGCAAUGGGCGAAAGCCUGACGCAGCGACGCCGCGUGGGGGAUGAAGGUCUUCGGAUUGUAAACCCCUUUCGGGAGGGAAGAUGGAACGAGCAAUCGUUCGGACGGUACCUCCAGAAGCAGCCACGGCUAACUUCGUGCC